GGCACGAUAGUUGAAUUGGUAAAGUAAGUGGAACGUCAUAUACCGGAGGUCGCGGGUUCGGUUCCUGUUCGUGUCG
This 76-nucleotide transfer RNA is filed under the name Danaus plexippus plexippus. It matches the Rfam family "tRNA". Rfam says of the family: Transfer RNA (tRNA) molecules are approximately 80 nucleotides in length. Lineage: Eukaryota; Metazoa; Arthropoda; Insecta; Lepidoptera; Nymphalidae. The record is from Rfam by way of RNAcentral.